UAAUAUGCAAGGUUUCAUGGUAGUCACUCUGUUCUAUGUCUUUCCUUUGCACUUAGCCUUUUUUGGUAAACCAAGUUGAUUUAAAAAUUAUUCAUGUUACCAGAACUGAAAAAAAUGUCACGUUCACGCGACCAGUUUCAAUUCUAAAUGCCAAAUUUUGAGGAAAAAUCCCGCCAUAAUCCAACCUGUAAACCAUUUCCGCCACACGUUUUGGGAGUACUAAAAUGGCGGCCAACUGGCUUCACCCAAUCGACAUACCACUCGAUGUGUAUGCACUAUACAGUCGUUUUUUUUUAUCCGAACGUGGCCUCCAUUCAUUCAUCGCGGGUUUCCGACCAUAGUUGCACGUCCCAGUGAUUAGAAGUGAUUAGAAAAGUGUGUCGCCGCGAUAGUCUCAGAGAACGUUGUCCCGCAUUGGCGGCACUAGCAAUGCUAAACUAGCGAUAGCGCUCUUAACAAGCUAGCGUUAGCAACCGCUGCUACGACGACGUUUGCUAACUUCGUGAAAUCGACUUCUAUCCAAUUGGACUCUUCAAAAUUGCAAAAAGAAAUUGCCAGUGAUAGCCCGAGGUGCUGUGCUACCUUGGGACUUCCGGUGUAGCAUCACCAAAGUGAAGAUCCGAAAGUGUUUUCAGUCGGAAAGGCAGCAAAACAUUUGCAUACGAUACAGCGAGUGAUUGAUGGAACGCGGUCUAAUUAAAAACCCACCUUGGCCGAUUCGCGGAUCUUCAGUGUAUCAAAAGCAAGAAACCAAAUAGACCCUCAAGCCUGGCUCGGUAUCGGAAACAUGUUCUACGUGUUCUACCAGGACGGCAUUAAAGUCAUCCAGCCGGUGGCAUGCGAGAUUCAGAGGCGCAUCAAGCCCAGCGAGAAACUGCUGGCUCUGAAGGUAAAAAGUUCAGAAGGAAAUGGAAGCUGGCACUUUUCCUGUAUUUUACCUGCAGCAUGGGGAAGCUCUUCUGCCUGUCCCCCCAGCUGAGGAUCCACACCUGGUCUUGAGACUUGUCGUAGUGCAGCUUGACGGGAUACGGGUCGGUGCUGACCGUCUGAUGGGCGGGCGGCGCUGGCCCGUGAUGGCGCACGUCAGCACGGCGCUCUGGCCCACCGUCACCUUCUUCACCGUCACCCUCUGGCGCUCCGGGAGGUCCAGCUGGUACACGUCUGUUGAUUACACGACAGCGCAGAGUCA
This is a long non-coding RNA of Syngnathoides biaculeatus (alligator pipefish), 1189 nucleotides long. RefSeq lists it as uncharacterized. NCBI's taxonomy places the organism in Eukaryota, Metazoa, Chordata, Actinopteri, Syngnathiformes, Syngnathidae. The record is from RefSeq and is a predicted model, not a curated record. The transcript has 6 exons.